AACGAACGCUGGCGGCAGGCCUAACACAUGCAAGUCGAGCGCCCCCUUCAGAGGUCAGAGACAGAUGUCGGAUGUCAGAAGUUCACUGCGUGGAUCACGCGCGGUGCCUUUCUGACAUCUGACAUCCGACAUCUGACUUCUGAUGGGGGGAGCGGCGGACGGGUNAGUAACGCGUGGGAAUCUUCCUUGAGGUACGGAACAACUGAGGGAAACUCAGCUAAUACCGUAUGAAGCCGGGAGGCCAAAGAUUUAUCGCCUUGGGAUGAGCCCGCGUCAGAUUGGUAGUGGUGGGUAACGGCUACAAGCCUGCGAUCUGUAGCUGGUCU
Molecule: ribosomal RNA, 326 nt
Filed under: uncultured bacterium
Lineage: Bacteria
Description: partial 16S ribosomal RNA
Rfam family: Bacterial small subunit ribosomal RNA
Source: RNAcentral